Molecule: non-coding RNA, 30 nt
Filed under: Homo sapiens (human)
Lineage: Eukaryota; Metazoa; Chordata; Mammalia; Primates; Hominidae
Source: RNAcentral
UGUGGGUGUUUUCCAGCACGGAAAAGUCGA